UACCAGCACCCCGAGUGUUCGGGACGAUUAUUGGGCCUAAAGCAUCCGUAGCCGGUUUUACAAGUCCUCCGUUAAAUCCAGCUGCUUAACAGAUGGGCUGCGGAGGAUACUAUAAGACUAGGAGGCAGGAGAGGCAAGCGGUACUCAGUGGGUAGGGGUAAAAUCCGUUGAUCCAUUGAAGACCACCAGUGGCGAAGGCGGCUUGCCAGAAUGCGCUCGACGGUGAGGGAUGAAAGCUGGGGGAGCAAACCGG
Molecule: ribosomal RNA, 253 nt
Filed under: uncultured bacterium
Lineage: Bacteria
Description: partial 16S ribosomal RNA
Rfam family: Archaeal small subunit ribosomal RNA
Source: RNAcentral